This 164-nucleotide ribosomal RNA is filed under the name Setaria faberi. RNAcentral describes it as "5.8S ribosomal RNA". It matches the Rfam family "5.8S ribosomal RNA". Rfam says of the family: 5.8S ribosomal RNA (5.8S rRNA) is a component of the large subunit of the eukaryotic ribosome. It is transcribed by RNA polymerase I as part of the 45S precursor that also contains 18S and 28S rRNA. RNAcentral also lists the same sequence under 9 other names. The record is from RNAcentral. Lineage: Eukaryota; Viridiplantae; Streptophyta; Magnoliopsida; Poales; Poaceae.
CACACGACUCUCGGCAACGGAUAUCUCGGCUCUCGCAUCGAUGAAGAACGUAGCAAAAUGCGAUACCUGGUGUGAAUUGCAGAAUCCCGCGAACCAUCGAGUUUUUGAACGCAAGUUGCGCCCGAGGCCUUCUGGUUGAGGGCACGCCUGCCUGGGCGUCACGC